Molecule: ribosomal RNA, 468 nt
Filed under: uncultured bacterium
Lineage: Bacteria
Description: partial 16S ribosomal RNA
Rfam family: Bacterial small subunit ribosomal RNA
Source: RNAcentral
GACGAACGCUGGCGGCGUGCUUAACACAUGCAAGUCGAACGGAAAGGCCCUGCUUUUGUGGGGUGCUCGAGUGGCGAACGGGUGAGUAACACGUGAGUAACCUGCCCUUGACUUUGGGAUAACUUCAGGAAACUGGGGCUAAUACCGGAUAGGAGCUCCUGCUGCAUGGGGGGGGUUGGAAAGUUUCGGCGGUUGGGGGUGGACUCGCGGCUUAUCAGCUGGUUGGUGGGGUAGUGGCUUACCAAGGGUUUGACGGGUAGCCGGCCUGAGAGGGUGACCGGCCACAUUGGGACUGAGAUACGGCCCAGACUCCUACGGGAGGCAGCAGUGGGGAAUAUUGCACAAUGGGCGGAAGCCUGAUGCAGCAACGCCGCGUGCGGGAUGACGGCCUUCGGGUUGUAAACCGCUUUCGCCUGUGACGAAGCGUGAGUGACGGUAAUGGGUAAAGAAGCACCGGCUAACUACGUG